This 425-nucleotide ribosomal RNA is filed under the name uncultured bacterium. Its description in RNAcentral is "partial 16S ribosomal RNA". It matches the Rfam family "Bacterial small subunit ribosomal RNA", at positions 354 to 796 of the family's 1533-position model. The record is from RNAcentral.
GUGGGGAAUAUUGGACAAUGGGCGAAAGCCUGAUCCAGCAAUGCCGCGUGAGUGAUGAAGGCCCUAGGGUUGUAAAGCUCUUUUACCCGGGAUGAUAAUGACAGUACCGGGAGAAUAAGCUCCGGCUAACUUCGUGCCAGCAGCCGCGGUAAUACGAGGGGAGCUAGCGUUGUUCGGAAUUACUGGGCGUAAAGCGCGCGUAGGCGGUUUUUUAAGUCAGAGGUGAAAGCCCGGGGCUCAACCCCGGAAUAGCCUUUGAAACUGGAAAACUAGAAUCUUGGAGAGGUCAGUGGAAUUCCGAGUGUAGAGGUGAAAUUCGUAGAUAUUCGGAAGAACACCAGUGGCGAAGGCGACUGACUGGACAAGUAUUGACGCUGAGGUGCGAAAGCGUGGGGAGCAAACAGGAUUAGAAACCUCGGUAGUCC